Molecule: ribosomal RNA, 691 nt
Filed under: uncultured bacterium
Lineage: Bacteria
Description: bacterial SSU rRNA
Rfam family: Bacterial small subunit ribosomal RNA
Source: RNAcentral
UCUCGAAUUCGAUUAGAGUUUGAUCAUGGCUCAGGACGAACGCUGGCGGCGUGCUUAACACAUGCAAGUGGAGCGACGAACCAGGGCUUGCCCUGGGGCAGAGCCGCGAACGGGUGAGUAACACGUGGGUCACCUGCCUCGAUGACUGGGACAACCCGAGGAAACUCGGGCUAAUACCAGAUGUGGUCCCUCCUCUUAAGGGGAGUGACUAAAGGGAGCUUCGGCCCCCGCUUUGGGAGGGGCCCGCGGCGCAUUAGCUUGUUGGUGAGGUAACGGCUCACCAAGGCAUCGACGGGUAGCUGGUCUGAGAGGACGAUCAGCCACACUGGGACUGAGACACGGCCCAGACUCCUACGGGAGGCAGCAGUGGGGAAUCUUGCGCAAUGGGCGAAAGCCUGACGCAGCAACGCCGCGUGGGGGGAUGAAGGCUCUCGGGUUGUAAACCCCUUUCAGCAGGGACGAAAUUGACGGUACCUGCAGAAGAAGCUCUGGCUAACUACGUGCCAGCAGCCGCGGUAACACGUAGGGGGGCAAGCGUUGUCCGGAUUUAUUGGGCGUAAAGAGCUCGUAGGCGGCUCAGUAAGGUCGGGGUGGUCAAAUCCUCAGGCUCAACCUGGGGGCUUCCACCCGGAUACUGCUGGUGGCCUAGAAGUUCCGGGUAAGGGGAGCGUGGAAUUCCCUGGGUGUUAAC